AUGGUGGCCGGCCGUGGGUUCGGGCUGGUUCCGACGUACGGCGGCUUGGUCAUGGCUACUGCCCCUGCUGCAACCCUGGCAGAUCCUAUGAACCAAGGUGCAAGUGCAGUUGCCCAGGCGUCGAACGUGGACGUGGUACUGAAACCUGCUGCUGCUGUACCUACCACAACUUUGACAGCGGCAGUGGGUUCAGAAACAGGCGCGCCUGCUGUUGGUCGCAUAACUGAAGCGAGCACUAUGCUCCCGGUAGCAAAUUCAGCAAUGUUGGUAGUGGUGGGGAACAAGCAGAUGGAUGGGAUCUACAUCGACAAAGGCCCUGCGACGCACCUUUUUGUCGCAGGUUCCGACUGCAAGACAGAAGAGGCAGUCAAGAUAUCUGGAAAGAAUAUGAAGAAAAAGGGUACAGAGCAGGGUGUGGUCAACAUUGUAUCAGUUCUGGGCAAGAGAGGGGACAGGGUACAGGAAGGGGUACAUGAGUCACUUCUGAAGGGGGAGGUAUGUAACUAG
RNAcentral lists this ribosomal RNA (507 nucleotides) under Triticum aestivum (bread wheat). Its description in RNAcentral is "partial small subunit ribosomal RNA". Lineage: Eukaryota; Viridiplantae; Streptophyta; Magnoliopsida; Poales; Poaceae. The record is from RNAcentral.